CAAGACCUUGCGCUUUUGGAGCGGCCGAUGCCUGAUUAGCUUGUUGGUAAGGUAAAAGCUUACCAAGGCUUCGAUCAGUAGCUGGUCUGAGAGGACGACCAGCCACACUGGGACUGAGACACGGCCCAGACUCCUACGGGAGGCAGCAGUGGGGAAUUUUGGACAAUGGGGGCAACCCUGAUCCAGCCAUGCCGCGUGAGUGAAGAAGGCCUUCGGGUGUAAAGCUCUUUCAGCCGGAACGAAACGGUUACGGAUAACACCCGUGACUACUGACGGUACCGGAAGAAGAAGCACCGGCUAACUACGUGCCAGCAGCCGCGGUAAUACGUAGGGUGCGAGCGUUAAUCGGAAUUACUGGGCGUAAAGCGUGCGCAGGUGGUUUUGUAAGUCAGAUGUGAAAGCCCCGGGCUCAACCUGGGAACU
RNAcentral lists this ribosomal RNA (423 nucleotides) under uncultured bacterium. Its description in RNAcentral is "bacterial SSU rRNA". It matches the Rfam family "Bacterial small subunit ribosomal RNA", at positions 207 to 622 of the family's 1533-position model. The record is from RNAcentral.